GAUGAAGAACGUAGCGAAAUGCGAUAAGUAAUGUGAAUUGCAGAAUUCAGUGAAUCAUCGAAUCUUUGAACGCACAUUGCGCCCGGGAGCAUUCUCCCGGGCAUGCCUGUUCGAGCGUCAUUUCAACCCUCGAUUUCCCUUUGGGGAAGUCGGCCGUUGGAGAUCGGCAGCACUGCCGGCUCCCAAAUACAGUGGCGACCCGCCGCGGGGACCCCUGCGUAGUAACUUACACUCGCACCGGAAACCAGACGUGUCACGCCGUAAAACCCCCAACUUUCUGAACGUUGACCUCGGAUCAGGUAGGAAUACCCGCUGAACUUAAGCAUAUCAAUAAGCGGAGGG
Molecule: unclassified non-coding RNA, 342 nt
Filed under: soil metagenome
Description: partial contains 5.8S ribosomal RNA, internal transcribed spacer 2, and large subunit ribosomal RNA
Rfam family: 5.8S ribosomal RNA (bases 1-120)
Source: RNAcentral